UUUUAAAUUAGUAAAUAAUUUAAGUUAGUUUGUAAAGCUACACCAAGACACACACAUGGAGUUUCGGCACUCUCUGACAUGUAUAGUAAUGAUUUUAUCACUACUUUUACCUUUAAGAUUAGCUGUUUUAACAUUUUAACAUUUUUAUCUGUAUAUAUUUCUAGGCUUUAGUGCUUGUGCAUAAUACAACGGACUUAUCUUGCUCGAAAUCCCACUUCCAACUCAUCAUUGGUGAGCAGGGGACUAAGACUAACGGAAUGAGUACUUAUGCUUGUAAAUAAUUGCACAAAUUAUAAAUAAAUAAGUAUUUUCACCUAUAUUUUACCUGAGUUUACUUGUCAAAAAAUUGCGUGCAAUUGUAACCAAAAUCUGCGCGCAAACGUAAUGAUUUUUGCGUGCAAAUGUAAUGGUAAUGCGUGCAAACUUAAUGCACCAAUUUAUUCUAUUGGAAUAGGAAUGGCAGUACUGUAUUUGAAGUUGAAGAGUCGCUAAUGUCAGAUUUUGAUUUGAUGGUGGCCUGCUUUUCAAAUACAGCUCUGUUAUUCCUUGAAUAUUACAACAAUGGACAUGGAAUUGCUAUUACAUGUAUUAAUUUGAAUGCAAAGCAGCCUUGAUAUAGUCCAGUUGAAUAAUAGAAAAUUAUAUAGAAUUUAGAUAUAGUAUAGAAUAUUUAAACUUAAAUUUUGCUGACAAAUUGAGUACAGAAAAUAUUUUUUUUAAUAUAAUUUUUUUUUAAUUACUACUAGGCACAAACACUUGUCUCUGGAAACAAAUUUCCUGUAUACUUUAAUUUUUUUUCAUAGACAAGUGCCUGUGCUUAUAGAGCCUCUAAUGACCCUGAAGUCCCAGUCAGGAAAUAUCAUUUUUAAUCUUUUACAAAUCUCCAUAGAUGUAUAAGUACAAUAAAAAUGGGCUUCUACUUUGUCUUUAUUGAAUACUAUUGGGCUUCUACAGUGUCUUCAUUGUUUCAUUUUAUUGUCGGAUGAUUUCCAAAUAUACUAAGAUGGUCUCCGAAAUUUGGUAAAUUGGUUUAAAAAAUAAAAAUUCCAGUUUUAAUUUUGAAAUUUUUCCCUGGAGUAGUGACUAGAUAUGAAAAGAUAAGCUAUAAGUUAUACUAGAAUAUAACCCCAAUGACAAGUUCUUGCUGAGUGCUGUGCAGGAAACAUUUGCUCUCCAGAACAAAGUAAAUGUUACAUUAAAAUGGUUUUAAUAUCGCCUACUAUAUGACAUGCAGUUGUGCUUUUGUGUAGAGUUUGUUUAAAAAACUAUCAGAUAUUUUUCUUUAUAGCUAAACAAAUAUUUGAAUCAAUUAUAUUUUAUUACUUAUUUUAAAUAUUUCAUCCUUUAGUGACAUGGUGCAUUCCUUGUGAUUGCUAAACACUCUAAAAGGUAACACAUCAAGUCAUUUUGAUUAUAGACAGUCAGUCAAAAAUUGAUCUGUUUUUAGGUGAAUGAAUCAAGGUUAUUGAAGCAUUCCAGAAUUAGAGUAAUUUUAUCCCAAUUUGGGUACUUUGAUAACUGAUGCGAGGGCAAUCAAUGCAUUUGGUAAUAAAUUAGAAUUGUAUGUACAAUGAAAAGAGACGCCAAGACUCUUUAAAAAUAUUAUUCAUUGUUACAAAAAUUGCAAGUAAUUGUGUUUCUGAUUAAAUAAUACUGAAAUUAAAAAUACAUUAGGAGACUGGUGGCAGCCUUUGGGUGUUACAUAAUUAAUAUUUUGUAUUUGUAGUUUACAUCAAGUCUUCAAAGGUUAUUAGUUUUAUUAUAAAUUAAAAAGCAUCAUCUGUUCAAAUAUUUUUCAUUAUAAACAACAAGUUUUCCCCCUUAUUUUUCUUA
RNAcentral lists this long non-coding RNA (1833 nucleotides) under Mytilus galloprovincialis (Mediterranean mussel). Lineage: Eukaryota; Metazoa; Mollusca; Bivalvia; Mytilida; Mytilidae. The record is from RNAcentral.